This 117-nucleotide ribosomal RNA is filed under the name Osmundea sinicola. The record is from RNAcentral. Lineage: Eukaryota; Rhodophyta; Florideophyceae; Ceramiales; Rhodomelaceae.
UGAUAUUUAUAGCACAGUGGACCCACACCAAACCAUCCCGAACUUGGUAGUUAAACUCUGUAGCGACAAGGAUACUGAAGAGGACACUCUUUGGGAAAGUAGUUCAAUAUCAGGACU